This 624-nucleotide ribosomal RNA is filed under the name Triticum aestivum (bread wheat). RNAcentral's name for it is "partial small subunit ribosomal RNA". The record is from RNAcentral. Lineage: Eukaryota; Viridiplantae; Streptophyta; Magnoliopsida; Poales; Poaceae.
AUGAGCGGCGGCGGCCCGGAGGCGGCGCCGCUGGAGUUCCCCUCCGCGGAGUGGCGGCGCGUGUACGAGCGGCUCCAGGGGCUGCUGCCGCGGGUGGAGGCGCUCGCCGCCGACCGCGCGCGCCUGGAGGAGGCCGUCACGCUGUCGGACGCCCGCGAGAAGAGCCUCCAUGCCCGCCUCCUCCAGGCGGAGGCGAGCAGGGAGAGGUGGAAGGCGGCCUACGCCCAGCUGCCUCCCGGUGCCAAUCCCAAGCUCGCUGAACUUCAAGAGCACGACUUGGUGGAUUCGGAAGCCCAUGAAGAAGCUCUUCCUGAUGCUGAUAACUCUCUACUGAAGGAGACUAGUCAAAAGCGCAGGAAGCUUACCAAUGAGGAGACUAGUCAAAAAAAGCGCAGGAAGCUUACCAAUGGGGAGACUAGUAAAGAAAAGCGCACGAAGCUUACCAGUGAGAUGCAUCUUGAACGGUGCACGAUGCAGAUCUUUGUCAAGAUCAACUGUUCAAUUUUUCUCAGAAACAGAAAGACCCACUGUUUAAAGACAAUCACUCUUGAGGUCAUGAGAUCAAAUACAAUCUACGAUGUCAAGGAAAAGAUACAAGACAAGGAGACUCAUGUUUGGCAGUGA